This 1562-nucleotide long non-coding RNA is filed under the name Lingula anatina. Its description in RNAcentral is "uncharacterized LOC106164233, transcript variant X5". The record is from RNAcentral. Lineage: Eukaryota; Metazoa; Brachiopoda; Lingulata; Lingulida; Lingulidae.
AAGUUGCACAACAAAGUCGAAUGGAGGCCAAGCGUCUUCAAUCGAAAUGGAUCGCCUGUAAGUAUAUUUAUUUUCACGCACUGUCCAAAGGGCGAUCCAGUGAUGAUAUAUGGACACUGAAGAAACCACAGCUAAGCUCGCCAGAAGUGCCUAAGCACAUAUAUUGGAAUCAAGGCUAAUGGCAGAGUUUCACUUUCUGACGCAAGGAAAAGAAAAGCGCUACGUGUGAUUUAGACAAAAGGGAGUUAGGACAUUUGUGUCAUGUUGCACUUGAAACUGCCUAGUCUACAUUGUGUCCUUUGGUGAAGUCAGAGACACUGUGAAGAAUGAUUGUGGCAUCAAGAUACACCUUUUUCUCAGCUGCUAGGAUGCUGUGUGAAGAGGAGGGGUAAGUAUACGACCAGAAGGACAAACUCAUCUGAUGAGGUGCUCUGCUUUCUGUGAUCUUCUUGGCUGAGAUAUGGUAAAUGCAAUUACUCUAAAGACUAGGAAAGUGGAAGGAAGACACUGAACUUCAAAUUUACCAAGUAAGUUGAGAAGAAUUCCAGAGCCACACAGCAUACUGCAGUGUCAGCAAGAAAGAUCUCAUGGGUUCCAUGUGGACAUGAUGGACAUGUUAAGUUUGACUAGUUGAUGAGAGAAAAAAAAGGGAAUAGGAACACUUUUGCACCUACCCACAUUACUUUCAAAACAACUGAGAUUAGUUACAGGGCAGUGGCAACUUCACACUUUUAUUGAUGGAUUCUGAAGACCAUUACCAGAUGUAUAAUAAUCAAAUAUCAUCAGAAAUGAAGGGCACGUUAAUUAUUCCAAAGAGUGAAAGUAGUACAAAUCAAAGGAAAAUAUUUUGAUGGUAAUCAAUAUGAGCUCACUCAGAGGUCACUCGCAGGGGCCAGUCUUAACAGAAUUGACAAGGUUAUCAUCCCUGUGCUUGGCUUUAUUAAGACAUGUCAUGUAGGUGGUGAUGGAGUUAACUUUUGGAUAAUAUAUAAGGAAUUAUCUGAAUCAAUCAUCUGCUGCUAAUGUUAUACAUUCAUUAGUCACUUCUAGGCUGGGAUGUCCAGAUGAUAGGAUUAAAAGAUAACAAUGCAUCCAGAAUAUUUCAGAACAGCUUUUCAUGUAACAGCCUAGAAACUUGUCACAUUAUUCCAGUUUUAAAGCAGCUGCAUUGGUUAUCAGAUAGGGCUAGAAUUUUAAAAUAUUUAGUUUUUACACGUUGCUUUCUCUAAUGUAGCUCCAGCAUAUAUAACUGAUCUGGUAAAAAAUCAUAACUUUUACUGAAAAUUGCCAUUAUAGCAGGGUAAAAAAAUAUAUGGUGACAUGUAAUUUUGUAUAGCUUCACUGUUGGAGUAGAACAAGGUGUCAAUUUACUGAAGGCAGAUAGAAACAGAAAUCUCUUAUAAGGAAUUAAACACACAUUUUUAAAGAUGUUUUAUUGCUGAAUUUUGUUCAAUUUUUAAAAUAUACAUUAUGUAAGGGAAGUAUUGGGUCUUUUAAUUACUGCUUAGUCAAACGUUUUAACAUUUAUAAUUAAUAUAAUAUAUAUAACUGUAAUAUAUAAA